Long non-coding RNA from Ipomoea nil (Japanese morning glory), 142 nucleotides. RefSeq lists it as uncharacterized. The record is from RefSeq and is a predicted model, not a curated record. The transcript has 2 exons. NCBI's taxonomy places the organism in Eukaryota, Viridiplantae, Streptophyta, Magnoliopsida, Solanales, Convolvulaceae.
AGAGUUGUUAAUUCGUAUACAGAGAUCGUUGACAUGCUAUCUAAAGAAGAUGAUGUUGGGCACCAGACUGACCUGAGCGAGCAAUGGAGCUGGUUAUUCAAAGCGUUGAAAGACCUCUUAAACAAAAUUUGGGACAUUUUUA